This 498-nucleotide ribosomal RNA is filed under the name uncultured bacterium. RNAcentral describes it as "partial 16S ribosomal RNA". It matches the Rfam family "Bacterial small subunit ribosomal RNA", at positions 28 to 507 of the family's 1533-position model. The record is from RNAcentral.
GACGAACGCUGGCGGCGUGCCUAAUACAUGCAAGUCGAACGAGAGCGACCGGUGCUUGCACUGGUCAAUCUAGUGGCGAACGGGUGAGUAACACGUGGGUAACCUGCCCAUCAGAGGGGGAUAACAUCCGGAAACGGAUGCUAAAACCGCAUAGGUCUUCGAACCGCAUGGUUUGAAGAGGAAAAGAGGCGCAAGCUUCUGCUGAUGGAUGGACCCGGGGUGCAUUAGCUAGUGGGUAAGGUAACGGCUCACAAAGGCCAUGAUGCGUAGCCGACCGGAGAGGGGGAUCGGCCAAAAGGGAACUGAGACACGGUCCAGAAGCCUACGGGAGGCAGCAGGAGGGAAUCUGACGCAAUGGGCGAAAGCCUGACGGAGCAAUGGCGAGUGAGGGAGGAAGGUUUUCGGAUCGUAAAACUCUGUUAGUAGGGAAGAACAAAGGGGUAAGUAAAUAUGCACGUCUUGAGGGUACAUAAUCAGAAAGCCACGGCUAACUACGUG